CUUCAUUUGAUUUCAGGGACUUAUUGAAGAUGCCAGAUAAAUGUCAUAUCCAUAGCCCAAGUAUUUGCUGUAAAGCUGAGAGUUUUAACUUGUCUCCUUGUAUUUUGGCAGUAUAGAAGGUCUGUUUCAACUGGCUUCACCACAAACACAUGAAUAAUCUACUGUACUGAUAGCUGUUAUGGCUGCUCCAUCCCCAGAAAAUAACUCUUCAGUUCUAUUACAGGCAAGAAGAUAAAAUCCCUCAUUUGACAAACCAGUCCUGCUUCAUGUUGCUUCAGCUGACUGAGCAUAUCUGAUACAAUGUUUAUAAUGUGCAACCAUUUGCUCUGGGUUCAAAUCAAAAUGUUGCCCUGUAUUAUCUUGUGAACUGCUUCA
Molecule: non-coding RNA, 375 nt
Organism: Myodes glareolus (Bank vole)
Lineage: Eukaryota; Metazoa; Chordata; Mammalia; Rodentia; Cricetidae
Source: RefSeq, a predicted model, not a curated record